GGUAGUCCAUGCCGUAAACGUUGGGCACUAGGUGUGGGGGACAUUCCACGUUUUCCGCGCCGUAGCUAACGCAUUAAGUGCCCCGCCUGGGGAGUACGGCCGCAAGGCUAAAACUCAAAGGAAUUGACGGGGGCCCGCACAAGCGGCGGAGCAUGCGGAUUAAUUCGAUGCAACGCGAAGAACCUUACCAAGGCUUGACAUGUGCCAGACCGCUCCAGAGAUGGGGUUUCCCUUCGGGGCUGGUUCACAGGUGGUGCAUGGUUGUCGUCAGCUCGUGUCGUGAGAUGUUGGGUUAAGUCCCGCAACGAGCGCAACCCUCGUUCCAUGUUGCCAGCACGUAGUGGUGGGGACUCAUGGGAGACUGCCGGGGUCAACUCGGAGGAAGGUGGGGAUGACGUCAAAUCAUCAUGCCCCUUAUGUCUUGGGCUUCACGCAUGCUACAGUGGCCGGUACAAUGGGUUGUGAUACUGUGAGGUGGAGCUAAUCCCUAAAAGCCGGUCUCAGUUCGGAUUGGGGUCUGCAACUCGACCCCAUGAAGUCGGAGUCGCUAGUAAUCGCAGAUCAGCAACGCUGCGGUGAAUACGUUCCCGGGCCUUGUACACACCGCCCGUCAAGUCACGAAAGUUGGUAACACCCGAAGCCGAUGGCCUAACCACCUUGUGUGGGGGGAGUCGUCGAAGGUGGGACUGGCGAUUGGGACUAAGUCGUAACAAGGUAGCCGUACCGGAAGGUGC
RNAcentral lists this ribosomal RNA (734 nucleotides) under uncultured bacterium. RNAcentral describes it as "bacterial SSU rRNA". It matches the Rfam family "Bacterial small subunit ribosomal RNA", at positions 789 to 1515 of the family's 1533-position model. The record is from RNAcentral.